UCUGAGCUCAAAUCAGGUAGGACUACCCGCUGAACUUAAGCAUAUCAAUAA
RNAcentral lists this ribosomal RNA (51 nucleotides) under Agaricomycetes sp. SPu6-1. RNAcentral describes it as "partial 28S ribosomal RNA". RNAcentral also lists the same sequence under 1 other name. Lineage: Eukaryota; Fungi; Basidiomycota; Agaricomycetes. The record is from RNAcentral.